CACAUCAGCUCGAGUGAGGAUACGCACUAAACUUAAACAUAUCAGUCGGCGCACGGCAACAAUAAAAACUAACCAGGAUUCCCUUAGUAACGGCGAGUGAAGUGGGGAGAUAAGUGAAUACAUCGUGUAAUCUUUUUUACGCGUUUGUAGCAAAGCCCGUCGAUAAAAUCCAUUGUUNAUUGAUAACUUCGGUUAUUCAAUAACAAGGAAUUGUAGCAUCGAAAAUAAUAUCAUUCAAGUUGUUAUAAUUUAUUUAUACUGUAAAUUAUUUUACACACACUAGUGCAACAAUUAUUUUUGCCGUUUGUAAUUAUUAACAUAAUAUUUUAAUAUCAACCAAUUGAAACACACAGCGUUUAGCGCUGGAAAGCAAUUUUUGUAGUUUAUCUGCAGCCAUAGAGUGUGACAGCCACGUUUUAUGGAUUAAAAUAUUAUUAUUACAAUUUAACACGCAUUAAUAUUAAUUGUCCAUCUUAUUACAGUUAUAAAUUAUAAACGUAAUUCGUGAAUGUUGAACCUGAGUCGAGUUGUUUGGGACUACAGCUCAAAUAGAUUGGUGGUGGUAAUGACACAUCAAAGGCUAAAUAUUGGUGUUUAUUUUACAUGCAACGGAAACCGAUAGCAAACAAGUACCGUAAGGGAACGAUGAAAAGCACCCUUCAUAGCACGCAUGCAGCGCAUUUAGUCUUCGGGCCAUUUGCAUUUUGCUUGCAAGCUCCAAAGGGAGUGAAAGAGAGAGUGAAAUCGCCUUACAGAAAAUAUAAUUUCUGCUUUAUAAUAUUUUGAAUAUUUACACACAAUUGAUUAAUAUUAUUAAUUAUUAUGUGAAGCAUUCUUUAUUUAUUUAUUCAGCGUAAUACAAUCGGACAGAGCGUCUUUGCAUCUUUUUGAUGGUAACGAACUAUUAUGUAAAUAUUUAUUACAUUGUAUGUUUUGUUAUAUUUAAAGGACGCAACUAUCCGACCCGUCUUGAAACACGGACCAAGGAGUUCAACUGGAUUGCGAGUCGUAGAGUUUAACACAAAACUCAUUAUAUAUAUAAUACGGCAUAGCGAAAGCGAAAUCGUGUGAUGUAUCAUGCAACAGUGAUACUGCAACACAGGCUGAUCAUGGAUAUGCGCUGUGUCUUAGAUAGAGCGUAUACGUAACUUUAUUUUUCGAAAUUUAUUUACGAUUGGUUAAGCUAAAGAGCACUUUAGUUGAGACCCGAAAGAUGGUGAACUAUGCUCGGACAUGGUGAAGUCAGGAGAAAUCUUGAUGGAAGCUUGCGUUGUGCGGAACUGACGUGCAAAUCGUUACCGCCUGACCUGUGUAUAGGGGCGAAAGACUCAUCGAACCAUCUAGUAGCUGGUUCCCUCCGAAGUUUCCCUCAGGAUAGCUCGAAUUUAUAUCAUGAGUAACACAAGGGUAAAGGCAAUGAGACGCGGUAUCUGUGGGUCUUAUUUAAAUGACCUCGGCCUUCUCUCAAACUUUAAAUCUGUGCGAUUACGCAUGCUUACUUAGAAUGUAUAAAAUUUCUUAUAUUUUAUACAGUGAAGUUGCGUUUAUUUAUAUUAUAUCAAAAAUUCGUAGUGGGCCAUUUCUGGUAAGCAGAACUGGCGAUGAGGGAUUCAACCUGACGUUUUCAAGAUAAGCCGGGCUUAAUCAUAUCUGCUCCAACCUUCCGAUAAACGCGAAAGGGUGUUCCGUGUGGUGCAGACAGCAGGACGGUGGCCAUGGAAGUUGGAAUCCGCUAAGGAGUGCGUAAC
RNAcentral lists this ribosomal RNA (1748 nucleotides) under Trochammina sp. RNAcentral describes it as "partial 28S ribosomal RNA". It matches the Rfam family "Eukaryotic large subunit ribosomal RNA", at positions 1 to 1286 of the family's 3401-position model. The record is from RNAcentral. Lineage: Eukaryota; Foraminifera; Textulariida; Trochamminidae.